GGAGCCGUAUUUACGCUGUUCUAGAUAUCUUCACUCUGAAUAAACUGUCGCUUGUCAUACAAUUUACCACCUUGUCUGAAUCGAUCCUUGACCGACUCGCCCGUCUACAUAUCUAAUUUCUAACAGAACUUGGUAGGCAGAGGAUAGUUUACUAACGAUCCAGUCGAAGUGAGUUGAUUUGGGUGUGAGAGGGCGAGUUGGUGAAAGGACGGUUCACGGAGGACGGGUGAAGACUUUCGGGGGAGGACAACAAUUCUGCUCAACUCGGAAAACUGAUCUCAAGGUGCACCAUAAAAAAGCUCUUUCCAAACAGAUACACAAAGUCCAUGGGGGGGAGCUGACGGGAGAUCCAGAGCAACCAAGGGUAAAGGUCGGAGACUGGGUAAGGAUCAUGGUCCACAAGAGAAAGUGGCAGGAUCCCAGGUGGACUGGGCCGUACGAAGUGAAGGAGGUUACUUCACACUCGGUCCAGGUCAAAGGUAAAUCAGGGGCGCCUUGGCACCACUUGACUCAUUGUGCACCAGCUUCGAUACCCAAUAGAACACUGACAGAGGUCAGGGUCGACUUGAGCGACUUGAAUUCGGCUCCAAUACAACCCGAUUAGCAGGUGACGAUGUGGACCAGACUCCCAUCAGCAUCGGCUAAUAGGCCUCCUAGAGACAGGGGUUAUCCCUGGACUAGACUGGGUAUAUCUGGCCCCGGUUUAUUCGUGUGUUUGUAAAUGCAUAUGUCUACUGAAUGAUAAAUUGAACGAAUGUUUAGACAAUGUUUUAGAUGUGUUGACUAUAUUGAGUGAAUGUUCAAACAAUGUUUUAGAUGUGCUCUGGCGUAAAUGAAGAUUUGUGAGACUCAAAUCGUGUGCAUGAAAUAUGCUUGAUAUUCAGUCGGGGACUAAUAUCGGUAUGAAUGAGGUCGGGGACCAAGCGAGUGUGGUACAUUAGGUAUUUCAGUUGGAGCUGGUACCGGUGAGUGUUGAAAAAGUCGCAGGCUUGCUGAUGAGAGUUAUAUCAUAGAAUAUUGAGGGGUGUGCAUGACUGUUGGGGGAAAAAAAGUGUUCAACUCUAUUAACGUGAAAUUCUUUUUGUAGAUUUGGGGAGACAAUUUGGAGAAACACGAAUAAGACAUGAAACAUCGAGACAAAUUAUUUGAGUUUGAGGGGAUUAUCAUAAUUAUUAGGUUUUGUUUAUGUAGUACAUGUUUGGGUUAAGGGGAUUUCCAUGUUCCCAGGGACAUGAUAUUUUAAAGAGGAACGCUCACAUAUGGAACUUUUAGUUUUUAUGGAGUUUUAAUUACACAAGUGAUUUAUAUUUUAUUUUAAGGAUAAAGGGUUCUUUAAUAUGGUAUGGAACACGAAUGUAGGGGGAUGGUGUAACCUUUGACCUGCUUUCAUGGCUCUCUCGGGUGGUCUGAUCAGCCACAAGGGGGUGCCAUUUGAAUAAUGAAUUUGUGGUCAUGGGUAAUACUGUCUAAAAAAUAAAUGAAAAGAUUAAAAAAGUUUUUUGAAAUUUAAUUUUUUAAGGUAACUUAAUUAUAGUGGAGUUUACUUAACCUAUAUAAAGACUUUAGAAAUUGCCACAAUAGACAUGUUUUUCUAAAAAAUAAAAAUCCAUGAGUUUAGAUAAAGCCAGACAGUGAGACAUUUAGUUAAAAUGUGGAAACAUGGGAAAAGGCAGACAGAAGAGCCCUCCCCCGCACUGCAGAGACCUUGAAGGUUGGAGAGCAGAGAGGAGAAGUUUUAGAAGGGAGCCAGGACGAGCAAGGAUAACAGAAUGUGUAGAUAACAGUCACUGAGUGGAGACAAAAGGGAGAAUUGGACAUGUGGAAAAUUAAAGGGGCGCUCCUACAUGAUAAUGUCAGAACAGAAGGAUAAUAUACUAAUCUUAUCUAAGUCAUUAUUUAGGGUAGGUAAGGUUGUUACCUGGGCAGAGCCAGGUAUCAAAAGGGGGAUAGGUAAAUUGUGGUCUAGGAUAGGAUGGGGCCUAUUGGAUAAACUAAUAAUUUAAAAAAAAAUGUAGCUAAACAAAUGGGCAUAGAAGGUAAAGAUAUAAUCAGAUAAAACAUAUGAGAAACUGUUUGUUAACCAAGCCUGUAUGUCCAGCAUUUUAUGCAUUAUAGGUGAACUACAGGUGAAGUCACUCAAUCCAGUUCCAGAGGCUUGUUGGGGGGACCAUACCAAGGUCUCCUGGUGACAGCUAGCUGAAAGAGCUACCCGGAUUCAUAUCACACGGCGGGAGGGUAAGACACAUUUACACUAUCGAACAAUAAACAGUGUUCGAGAGGAGAACUGGAAUUAACAGAAUUCCGGGGGCCAUCUCUCGAAUGAAGUAACCCUCCCUGUCCUGUCACCCCUGUUUUUGUUCAUAGAAGUGAGGAUGUGUCUGGCUCUUGCUAAGUGAUGUGUUCUCGGGGAAAGGGUGGGGCUUCACAUGGAAGCUGUUUGUCUGAGCUGUCUUAUCGUGGGUGACAUCCCAAAUAACACAGCACUGGACGAAUCAGUGCCCGAAGCCUCAGCUGGUUUGACCACCCUGGCUCACGGGUUGACAGAACUCUGGGGUGGAUACUUCUCUGAUUAAUUGGGUUUGAUAGUAUGUUCAGAAAAUGGGGAAAAUAUUAUGAUCACUGUAUUAUGGGCUACAUUCACCUGUGUGACUGUUUUAGUUUUAUGGGGCUGUUGUCUAAUUCCCUGUGUAUGAGGCCUUAUUUCCAGGACUCUGGAGAAAUCGAUGGAAAUAGAUGGUGAUGUACCAGCGGAUUCCAGGUUCUGACCCGUGGAGUGCUGAAUGUAUGUCUACAGAACAAGUGGACGAAAAUGAUAAAUGAAAUUAUAUUAAAUUGGGAGGGUGUCCGUAUGGGGAUUACAUGAUAACCGACUUGGGACAGUUCUGGGAUUGGAGAAGAGGGUAUCCUUAUAGCAUAGGGGAAAACCUGGGAGCACUGUUGAACUUUGUAAAGGUGAUGAAAUCCUACUAACCAUCAAAACUAUUAAGCUCUCUGAUGCAGACACUUACACCCUCGGACUACAAAGGACCGGGACAGACACGAUGGGUGGGUUUUCUAUUAAGGUGCUGCCAAAACCAGAGGUCCCAGACGAACCAGGGCCAGACACACUCCUCUACCACCCCUGGACCGAACCUGCCACCACUGUCUAAAAAAUCCCAUUCAGGUAAUUAAUGUUGGAGACUAUUCAGCUAUUGAUCAAUUAGACACUGAGACUGGUUUUGAUGGUAGGGACAAUUUGUGGCUGACUUAUAUGAGGUAUACAGCUAAGACCCUGAAAAGAAAGGACUGCAUGAGUUACAUGAAACAUUGGUCAUGCUAGACCUGUUCUGGCUACACACCCAUUUGCUAUAGGAGAAGGAGAGGGGUGGUUGUGUAUUCUGAGAGGUUUUUACCAGGUUCAGCCCAAUUCAACUCUCUGUUCCUCUUUGAGCCUUGUGUCUCCUACAGUACCUCCUCAUCGGGCCCCUUGGGGUGUUGAGGCAUAUGGGGGCAAUUACAGUUGCAUCACGGGUACAGGUAAUGGCAUUGAUUAUGAGAGAUUGCCUGAAGCUGAUUGCAGUAGUAACAUAGCCAUUAAUUCCACUUGGCCAGUUACAGGCCUAAACCAAACUAGUGGUCUGGCUGAUGUGUGGUGGAUCUGUGGACCCAAAAGAGUGCUGAGACCCAUUCUUAGAGGAGACUGGCAAGGUACGUGUGCUCUGACCAGUUUGAUAAUUCCACUGACCAUUGUUGAUGUUACUGCUGAACAGCUGUUGGGUUCUGUACCCAGGGGACCUGAAAACAUUCCAUUCCAUGGGAGACAUAGACGUAGUGCUCCAUGGACAGAGGAUGUAGUUGACAUACACACUAACCUGUUGGGAGUGCCAGUGGGGGUUCCUCAUGAGUUUCAGGUCUUUGGUAGGAAUGAUGGAUUAUAGGUCCAGCCAUAGUGGAUGCAAAGCAGACUGCAUGGAUUCAUUACAUCUACUAUGAUCAACAGCGUUUUGUUAAUUACCCCCGUGAUGCACUCACUGGUAUGUCUGAACAGUUUGAGGCCACAUCUAGGGUUGCCAGACAGAAUAGACUUGCUUUGGAUAUGCUUCUUGCCAGUCAGGGGGGCGUCUGCAAGAUGUUCGGUGAACAAUGUUGCACGUAACACCAGUCCAGAUGGUAGUAUAUCUAAGGCCCUUAGUGGGCUUAAUGCAUCAAGUGCAUCAAGCCCACUAUCUGCUGAGAUGAGGACCAUGGUGGGGGUGGAGGAGUCUGGCCUGUUCUCUUGGGUGGGAGCCUGUUUUGGUAAGUACACUAGUAUGGUGGUUACUGGAUUUCUGACCCUAAUUCUUGUAUUUUUGUUAUUGAUGUGUUGUGAUGCUUGCAUCAUACCGUGUUUCAAGAAGUCUGUUACAGAUGUGGUGAAGGCUUCAGGCAUGAUGAUGCCUUUGCUUGAUGCUCCAGUUGGAGAUGCUGAUACUGAAGCAUGCUUUCAGGGGAGGAUGAGACUGACUGAGGAUGACCCAUGGUAUGCUGUGGGUGAGGUAGUAGAAUAAAUCUUACACCACCACAGUUCCUUGUUAUACAUUUUUAUGAUAGGUUUUCUUUCCAGUAUGUUUGUUCUCCCUGUUGUGAAGGUUUCGAGUCCCUGGGUGGCAUGAAGCCCAACUGGUGCAGGAUAGGAGUAGAUGAGGACCAGAUGGUUUAUAAUAAUGCUUUGCUCUGCUUUACUCUGUUUUCCAUGACCAAAGUUUUAUCCUGUAUCUUACAUGUCAAUAAACAAAGUGUUAUCCUGUUUUUGCUAAGUGACACCCUUGUGGGUGUCAAAAGGGGGACUUAAAUUUCA
This is a long non-coding RNA of Oncorhynchus tshawytscha (Chinook salmon), 4816 nucleotides long. RefSeq lists it as uncharacterized. The transcript has 2 exons. Lineage: Eukaryota; Metazoa; Chordata; Actinopteri; Salmoniformes; Salmonidae. The record is from RefSeq and is a predicted model, not a curated record.